UGUAUCUGAAGUCUGACGAGGAUGAGAACCUCCGGGGGCAAGAGGUUCGACCCGAGCGAAGCGAGAGAACGUUGCGUCAGCAACGGCCCGCAGGGCGAGCCACGC
This 105-nucleotide small RNA is filed under the name Salmonella enterica. Its description in RNAcentral is "partial RtT sRNA". It matches the Rfam family "RtT RNA", at positions 1 to 101 of the family's 130-position model. Rfam says of the family: This family represents a bacterial cis-regulatory element known as RtT RNA. The exact function of RtT is unknown although it is thought that it may be involved in changing the cellular response in relation to amino acid starvation. RNAcentral also lists the same sequence under 1 other name. The record is from RNAcentral. Lineage: Bacteria; Pseudomonadati; Pseudomonadota; Gammaproteobacteria; Enterobacterales; Enterobacteriaceae.